RNAcentral lists this ribosomal RNA (176 nucleotides) under Cortinarius alboglobosus. Its description in RNAcentral is "partial 28S ribosomal RNA". It matches the Rfam family "Eukaryotic large subunit ribosomal RNA", at positions 1 to 172 of the family's 3401-position model. The record is from RNAcentral. Lineage: Eukaryota; Fungi; Basidiomycota; Agaricomycetes; Agaricales; Cortinariaceae.
UGUGACCUCAAAUCAGGUAGGACUACCCGCUGAACUUAAGCAUAUCAAUAAGCGGAGGAAAAGAAACUAACAAGGAUUCCCCUAGUAACUGCGAGUGAAGCGGGAAAAGCUCAAUUUAAAAUCUGGCGGUCUUCUGGCUGUCCGAGUUGUAAUCUAGAGAAGUGUUAUCCGCGCUG